RNAcentral lists this ribosomal RNA (498 nucleotides) under uncultured bacterium. RNAcentral's name for it is "partial 16S ribosomal RNA". It matches the Rfam family "Bacterial small subunit ribosomal RNA", at positions 28 to 523 of the family's 1533-position model. The record is from RNAcentral.
GAUGAACGCUGGCGGCAUGCCUUACACAUGCAAGUCGAACGGUAACAGGUCUUCGGAUGCUGACGAGUGGCGAACGGGUGAGUAAUACAUCGGAACGUGCCUAGUAGUGGGGGAUAACUACUCGAAAGAGUGGCUAAUACCGCAUGAGAUCUACGGAUGAAAGCAGGGGAUCGCAAGACCUUGUGCUACUAGAGCGGCAGAUGGCAGAUUAGGUAGUUGGUGGGAUAAAAGCUUACCAAGCCGACGAUCUGUAGCUGGUCUGAGAGGACGAGCAGCCACACUGGGACAGAGAAACGGCCCAGACUCCUACGGGAGGCAGCAGUGGGGAAUUUUGGACAAUGGGCGCAAGCCUGAUCCAGCAAUGCCGCGUGCAGGAUGAAGGCCUUCGGGUUGUAAACUGCUUUUGUACGGAACGAAAAGCCCCGGGUUAAUACCCUGGGGUCAUGACGGUACCGUAAGAAUAAGCACCGGCUAACUACGUGCCAGCCGCCGCAGUAA